RNAcentral lists this ribosomal RNA (898 nucleotides) under Salmonella enterica subsp. enterica serovar Weltevreden. RNAcentral describes it as "bacterial LSU rRNA". The stretch from base 1 to 709 matches the Rfam family "Bacterial large subunit ribosomal RNA", at positions 593 to 1301 of the family's 2925-position model. The record is from RNAcentral. Lineage: Bacteria; Pseudomonadati; Pseudomonadota; Gammaproteobacteria; Enterobacterales; Enterobacteriaceae.
GUGACUGCGUACCUUUUGUAUAAUGGGUCAGCGACUUAUAUUCUGUAGCAAGGUUAACCGAAUAGGGGAGCCGGAGGGAAACCGAGUCUUAACCGGGCGUUAAGUUGCAGGGUAUAGACCCGAAACCCGGUGAUCUAGCCAUGGGCAGGUUGAAGGUUGGGUAACACUAACUGGAGGACCGAACCGACUAAUGUUGAAAAAUUAGCGGAUGACCUGUGGCUGGGGGUGAAAGGCCAAUCAAACCGGGAGAUAGCUGGUUCUCCCCGAAAGCUAUUUAGGUAGCGCCUCGUGAAUUCAUCUCCGGGGGUAGAGCACUGUUUCGGCUAGGGGGCCAUCCCGGCUUACCAACCCGAUGCAAACUGCGAAUACCGGAGAAUGUUAUCACGGGAGACACACGGCGGGUGCUAACGUCCGUCGUGAAGAGGGAAACAACCCAGACCGCCAGCUAAGGUCCCAAAGUCAUGGUUAAGUGGGAAACGAUGUGGGAAGGCCCAGACAGCCAGGAUGUUGGCUUAGAAGCAGCCAUCAUUUAAAGAAAGCGUAAUAGCUCACUGGUCGAGUCGGCCUGCGCGGAAGAUGUAACGGGGCUAAACCAUGCACCGAAGCUGCGGCAGCGACGCUUAUGCGUUGUUGGGUAGGGGAGCGUUCUGUAAGCCUGUGAAGGUGGCCUGUGAGGGUUGCUGGAGGUAUCAGAAGUGCGAAUGCUGACAUAAGUAACGNACGUAUCACCCAAGACAACUUUACGGAGUUGACGAUUGACGGAGCGAAGCGACGUCAAAGCGUUCAUUAAAGUCGAGUUGGCUUAGGGAUACGUUCGUUGGGUAGGGGAGCGUUCUGUAAGCCUGCGAAGGUGGCCUGUGAGGGUUGCUGGAGGUAUCAGAAGUGCGAAUGCUGACAU